UACGUAGGGUGCAAGCGUUAAUCGGAAUUACUGAGCGUAAAGCGUGCGCAGGCGGUUUGUUAAGUCGGAUGUGAAAUCCCUCGGCUCAACUGAGGAAGUGCAUCCGAAACUGGCAGGCUUGAGUACUAAAGAGGGUCGCGGAAUUCCCGGUGUAGAGGUGAAAUUCGUAGAUAUCGGGAGGAACACCGGUGGCGAAGGCGGCGACCUGGGUAGAUACUGACGCUGAGGUGCGAAAGCGUGGGGAGCAAACAGG
This 253-nucleotide ribosomal RNA is filed under the name uncultured bacterium. Its description in RNAcentral is "partial 16S ribosomal RNA". It matches the Rfam family "Bacterial small subunit ribosomal RNA", at positions 524 to 776 of the family's 1533-position model. The record is from RNAcentral.